CCUACGGGCGGCUGCAGUGGGGAAUAUUGGACAAUGGGGGGAACCCUGAUCCAGCCAUGCCGCGUGUGUGAAGAAGGCCCUCGGGUUGUAAAGCACUUUCAGUGAGGAAGAACGCCUGGUGGUUAAUACCCAUCAGGAAAGACAUCACUCACAGAAGAAGCACCGGCUAACUCCGUGCCAGCAGCCGCGGUAAUACGGAGGGUGCGAGCGUUAAUCGGAAUUACUGGGCGUAAAGCGCGCGUAGGUGGCUUGAUAAGCCGGUUGUGAAAGCCCCGGGCUCAACCUGGGAACGGCAUCCGGAACUGUCAAGCUAGAGUGCAGGAGAGGAAGGUAGAAUUCCCGGUGUAGCGGUGAAAUGCGUAGAGAUCGGGAGGAAUACCAGUGGCGAAGGCGGCCUUCUGGACUGACACUGACUCUGAGGUGCGAAAGCGUGGGUAGCAAACAGGAUUAGAUACCCUGGUAGUC
RNAcentral lists this ribosomal RNA (465 nucleotides) under Vreelandella stevensii. RNAcentral's name for it is "partial 16S ribosomal RNA". It matches the Rfam family "Bacterial small subunit ribosomal RNA", at positions 338 to 795 of the family's 1533-position model. The record is from RNAcentral. Lineage: Bacteria; Pseudomonadati; Pseudomonadota; Gammaproteobacteria; Oceanospirillales; Halomonadaceae.